Molecule: long non-coding RNA, 1827 nt
Filed under: Homo sapiens (human)
Lineage: Eukaryota; Metazoa; Chordata; Mammalia; Primates; Hominidae
Description: HSALNT0332801
Source: RNAcentral
AGCUUGCGGGCGCCGAGUGCUGCGGGAAGGGAGGGAGACCCCGGAACACACCAGCCGCCUCUGUCCGCUGGGCGACGCUGCUCAGAGUGAGCGAUCGCCCGGGGCUCCAGGCGGGGACGCCUUUCUGCCGUCUCGAAUUUACGGUGAUUAAACACCUCCAAGCUGCCACUGUUCUUCAAAUAUCUUGGAUCACUCUGAGCACGCAUUUCGGUUGUGAAAGCAAAAAGGAAAAGGAGCAACCCAAAGCCUAAAGAAAACUGUUCUCGUCCGGGCAUGGUGGCUCACGCCUGUAAUCCCAGCACUUUGGGAGGCCGAGAUGGGUGGAUCACCUGAGGUCAGAUUCGAGACCAGCCUGGCAAACAUGGUGAAACCCCCGUCUCUACUAAAAAUACAAAAAAAAAAACAAAAUAGCCAGGCGUGGUGGCGGGCACCUGUAAUCCCAGCUACCUGGGAGGCUGAGGCAGGAGAAUCGCUUGAACCCAGGAGGCGGAGGUUGCAGUGAGCUGAGAUUGUGUCACUGCACUGUAGCUUGGGCAAGAAGAGCAAAAAACCCUGUCUCAAAAAAAAAAAAAAAAAAAAAAAAAAAAAGAAAAGAAAAAGAAAAAAGAAAAAAAAAAGAGAAAAAGAAAACUCUUUUCCACCAGGAUUAGCCACAGUGGGUUGCUUGGAGGCAGAAUUGUUGUUCCUUAUUAAGACCUCAUCAUUGAGAAAAACAAAAUCUGAGUAUGAAAGUUUUUGCAGCUGACCAGUGAGCCAGGUGUCUUGGUCUAGUGCUGGUGUGUUACACUCCGGAAGGGCUUCUCCUUACUCGUUCUGCUGAAUCAAAACGCCUUACAGGGUACCAGGCCCUCUCUCAGGUUGCUCAUUCUACCUCCUGUCUUAUCUCACUCAUUCAUUAAACAUUUGUGCAGCACCUGAUACCCUGCCUGUCCCUUCUCACAGGCAACCAGAUGUUGUCCUCGUCUUAAGGAGCCAGAUGAUGUGGGUUUCAGCCGUGGAAACUUAGCAAACUUACUUCAGGCCAGCUCGAUGGCUCACACCUGUAAUCCCAGCACUUUUGGAGGCCGAGGCAGGAGGAUCGCCUGAGCCCAGCAGUUUGAGACCAGCCCGGUUUCGCAACACAGCGAAACCCCAUCUCUACACAAAAUACAAAAAAUUAGCCAGGCGUGGUGGCGCCUGCCUGUAGUCUCAGCUACAUGGGAGGCUGAGGUGGGAGGAUCACUUGAGCCUGGGAGUUCGAGGCUGCAGUGUGCUGUGAUCCCCCUACUGCACUCCAGCCUAGGCGACAGAGCAAAAGACCCUGUCUCUAAACAACAACAACAACAAAAAGAAAACAACGAAAGAAAAAAAAAGAGAAAACUUACUUCAUCUGUCUGAAGCUUGGUGUUGUCAACAGUAAAAUGGAGAUGGCAAUAUCUGCUCUGUCUCCACCCAGCAUUGUUGGGAAGCGCAGCAAAGAUAAUAACGUUCACAAAAGCAUUUGAAUGUCCCCGUGUAUGUAAGGGGAGCUAUAAGUUCAGUGCCUUCACUGCUUAAUGAUGACUUUUCCUGUCCCUACCCCCCUUCACGAGUCCCAAGGAUCUGUUAGUGGCCUUUAUUUCCGAACAACCAGGUACGAUAUCAGAGCCCAAGGCUAAAAAAAAAGGAGGGAUCCUCCCACACACAGUUCUUUGCUAAAGCUGACCGAGUAAAACUGUAAACUGUCCAAGUCCUAACCCCCACUGUUGCAGAGGAACAGGUGCACUCUCACAUCUUUCUGUCUUAUAAAUACACCUCAUGCUAUUGUGGGCUGAAACAGUCCCUUCUUGUAUUAACUGCAGUGCCUAU